CUCACCUGUCAGCAGUGUUAACAGUGUUAGCAAUGUUUGUUUAUCACAGAGUGGAAAAAGUUCGCUGGAGAUCCCGUCAAACAGUUUGUGCGUUAACUGUGCGUCACUGACGACUCAUUUUAAACUGGAGUUACUUUAUCAACAGCCCUGCAAACUGUUGCUACUAGUGGGCGACUGAAUGUCCAGAGGACACGAAAUGAUGGAAGCAGUUGGUUAAAGGACUGAACUGCAGCAGCGAGGACGUCACACACACACGACUCAGUCUUUCACCAGGAGAAGCAGCU
Molecule: long non-coding RNA, 284 nt
Organism: Solea senegalensis (Senegalese sole)
Lineage: Eukaryota; Metazoa; Chordata; Actinopteri; Pleuronectiformes; Soleidae
Exons: 3
Source: RefSeq, a predicted model, not a curated record